RNAcentral lists this long non-coding RNA (299 nucleotides) under Elaeis guineensis (African oil palm). RNAcentral's name for it is "long non-coding RNA (EGUI_LNC075430)". The record is from RNAcentral. Lineage: Eukaryota; Viridiplantae; Streptophyta; Magnoliopsida; Arecales; Arecaceae.
UAGAGUGCGGCAUGAUGCCGUCAUUUACGGUGCAGACAAUGGGAGAGUUGUUAAAUCGUCGGAGACUGUCAGAGUCGCCGUGGGGCUGUCAAGUUGCCGUGGGACUGUCAAAUCACUAGGGUUGACCCAUGCCUCAGGUGGGACAAUAUCCCAGGGUGGCUACUCCGCACGCCUUUGUCAGGGUGGUGGUCCACAGCAGUCGUACGGCAUUCGGGGGAACCGACCGACUGUACGCCGACGUCUGGUUGAGGAAUAUCGGGUGAAAGUCCAGGGACCCUCCGACGGAUAGUCGGGGAUGU